UCAAGUGUUCACCCUGAACACGCCCAAUCUCAUCUUAUCUUGGAAGCUAAAAAGAGUCAGGCCUGGAUAGUACUUGGAUGGGAGAAGCUCAAGUGUCUCUUCAC
Erinaceus europaeus (western European hedgehog) is the source of this 104-nucleotide non-coding RNA. The record is from Rfam. NCBI's taxonomy places the organism in Eukaryota, Metazoa, Chordata, Mammalia, Eulipotyphla, Erinaceidae.